GACGAACGCUGGCGGCGUGCUUAACACAUGCAAGUCGAACGGAAAGGCCCUGCUUGCCGGGUACUCGAGUGGCGAACGGGUGAGUAACACGUGGGUGAUCUGCCCUGCACUUCGGGAUAAGCCUGGGAAGCUGGGUCUAAUACCGGAUAGGAGCCAUUUUUAGUGUGAUGGUUGGAAAGUUUUUUCGGUGUAGGAUGAGCUCGCGGCCUAUCAGCUUGUUGGUGGGGUAAUGGCCUACCAAGGCGGCGACGGGUAGCCGGCCUGAGAGGGUGGACGGCCACAUUGGGACUGAGAUACGGCCCAGACGCCGACGGGAGGCAGCAGUGGGGAAUAUUGCACAAUGGGCGCAAGCCUGAUGCAGCGACGCCGCGUGGGGGAUGACGGCCUUCGGGUUGUAAACUCCUUUCGCUAGGGACGAAGCUUUUUGUGACGGUACCUAGAUAAGAAGCACCGGCUAACUACGUG
This 465-nucleotide ribosomal RNA is filed under the name uncultured bacterium. RNAcentral's name for it is "partial 16S ribosomal RNA". It matches the Rfam family "Bacterial small subunit ribosomal RNA", at positions 28 to 507 of the family's 1533-position model. The record is from RNAcentral.